GGUGUCAUAUGGGUGACAUCACUCCCCCAGCUAGCCAAUGGCUGGGGGCCGGCUCCGCCCAUCUUCCUUUAUUAACUCGGAGGCCCCGCCCCUCCACCCCGCCCUCCGGGCUGCUUUGCAAAGAUGGGGGUGGGGGGAGAGGAGGCAUGUCUAGAAAUAUGUUAUUUUUAAAAAAUCCGCGUGUGUGCACAGAUGCGCCUGUUCCCGGGAUGCUCGGAAGCGGCGCGCGGCACCACGGGGAGCGGGCGGCCCGGGGCGAACCGGGAUGGUUCGGGCGCCGGCGCUAACCGAGGACCGGGUCCCGGGAGAGGCCCCGCGCGCCUUUGUGCCCAGUCCCCGGGAGGCCCGACGGCGACAGCGGACGGCGCGCGCUCACUCCCCGGGUGCACACACUCGGGCACGCGCCCAGCCUGAGACGGCGGCCUCCGCCCGGCUCGCGGUCAGCCGCGCCCGGCCUGCCCCGGGGUGGGCGCAGCUGCUCCCCGGCGAGCCCCUCGCGGGGCUCGGCCGCUCCCCCGGGUCGCCGCCCCGAGCCCGCCCGGUAGCCCCGCGGCGGCCCUGGCCGACGGAAGGUGGCGCUUGAAGACAGCAACCUUCCCGGCACGUGGGCUCUGCUCUCCUUUUCCCUUUCUCCCUUUUUGUAAGGCAAAGAAAUCAAUUUAAAGCUCGAGAGGCGGUGAGCUCCCUCCCCCGUUUUGCAUUUUUCUGUUUUGUCCUUUUUCUCCGUCUGUUUUCCCUCCUCGGUGGUGUUUGGGGACGCGGCUGUGCGGGUUGGGCUGCGCCGCGCCCCCGCGCGCCCCGCCCCGGGCGGGGGCCGGAGUAACGGUCUGCGGGGCCCUCGGGUUCAAGCUGGCCACUCCCAGGGCUGGCUCCGGAGCGGGCUCUGGGUCCCGCAGGCUCCAGCAAGCCCGCGCCCCGCCCGGCGUCCCUGCGAGGGGCCCGGCGCCCUCCUUCCCUUCUCCCUCUGCUCCCCGCCCCUCCUCUCCCCGCCCCGUCCUCUCCCCGCCCCUCCGCCGCUCCUUUCUCCUUCCCAGGCCUCCUCUUCCUCUUUGUCCUUCCCCCAUCCUCGGUCGCCAGCGCUUCUCCGGCAGCCUCGUCCUGAAAUCGUGCGAUUGUGAGCUAGAAGCCUUCUGGGUCACUCAUAAACCAAAGAGAAAAUAAGGUGCACUCGAGUUUCCCGUCUAAAUAUUUUCCCUGGAGAUGGAAAGGUGCGCUGGCGGCCGGGGAGCCGCGACCUGGGGCGCGCUGGGCCUCGCAGAGCAGCCGCGGACCCCGGCGAUCGUGCCGUGUUCGUCUCCUUUGUGUUUCUUUAUUGAGUCCCUACUACCUCUACGGAUAUUCUGGGGGCAAUUAAAGAAAAUCACCGCUUCAUAGGCAGCACAUAUUUCCCAUAGAAAUGUGGAAUGUAAGAAAGGCACAUAAAGCAAUCCAAGUUGCCUGCAGAUAUCCACAGCCUACUUCAGUCUCAGUAAUGCUCUUUUAACCUGGUGCAUCAGUUUAAGGGAAGACAUGAGAUCAUGGGUUUAAGUGAGGCUUCAUCAUGCCAAGACAACGUGAUCAGUUAUUCCCAACCUAUAUAACUCACAUACACUGGAGGAAAUAUCUUCAUGGAAUUAAAACCACAUGGAGUAACAUUUCACGUAAGCAGAAUUCAGGAAUGAUUUCAGUAAUUCCAUCCCAAACACACACAGGCAAAGGGAGUGAAGAUUUCUUCAGCAACAUGGUGGCAGAAAGAUCAUGAAAAGAUCUAGGCCAGUCCAAGCUCACUGCAGUUAAAUCUUCAGUCUCCAGCACUGCACUUGGGAAAGCGUCAAGGAGUUGAAUGUAUAUGUAAUUGGAGUGCCAGAAGAAGAGAACUGAGAGAGAGGGGCAGAACAGCUCAUGAGGGGGAAAACCCACUACAUACAAACAAGAAUACUGCAGACUCCUCAUCAGAAUCUAUGUUAUGAACACAUGUAAGGCACCUCAUCUGGCAUCUGACAAACUCAACGAGACAAUGAAUGAACCAGAAUAAAUAAUCAUCUAUUUUCUUCCCCCUGAACAUUUCUACAGUUGAGACAGUCUUAGAAUUUCUCUCUUGCAUGCCAGGAUAUUAGACUGUUGAAAUUGAAUUCUUUUUUUUUUUUUUGAGAAGGAGUCUCGCUCUGUCCCCAGGCUAGAGUGCAGUGGCGCGAUAUCGGCUCACUGCAACCUCCGCCUCCAAGGUUCACGCCAUUCUCCUGCCUCAGCUUCCCGAGUAACUGGGACUACAGGCGCCCGCCACGACACCUAACUAUUUUUUUUGUAUUUUUUAGUAGAGACGGGGUUUCACCGUGUUAGCCACGAUGGUCUUGAUCUCCUGACCUCGUGAUCUGCCUGCCUCGGCCUCCCAAAGUGCUGGAAUUACAGGCGUCAACCACCGCGCCCGGCCGAAAUUGAAUUUCUUUCUUUUCACCAACUCGAAUUUCUUCUUCUUAUGUAAGGUCAUCUUACAUAAGUGAGACUCCUUUGUUCCCUUUCCCUUAAUAACAAGCCUACAAGGAGGUGAAGGUGG
Molecule: long non-coding RNA, 2533 nt
Filed under: Homo sapiens (human)
Lineage: Eukaryota; Metazoa; Chordata; Mammalia; Primates; Hominidae
Description: HSALNT0026445
Source: RNAcentral